UACAGAGGUCUCGAGCGUUAGGCGGAAUCACUGGGCUUAAAGCGUGUGUAGGCGGAUCGGUAAGUACCUUGUGAAAUCCCACAGCUUAACUGUGGAACUGCUUGGUAUACUGCCAGUCUUGAGCCAGCUAGGGGCUACCGGAACAAAUGGUGGAGCGGUGAAAUGCGUAGAUAUCAUUUGGAACGCCAAUGGUGAAAACAGGUAGCUGGGGCUGUGCUGACGCUGAGACACGAAAGCCAGGGGAGCAAACAGG
Molecule: ribosomal RNA, 253 nt
Filed under: uncultured bacterium
Lineage: Bacteria
Description: partial 16S ribosomal RNA
Rfam family: Bacterial small subunit ribosomal RNA
Source: RNAcentral